Tigriopus californicus is the source of this 2110-nucleotide long non-coding RNA. RefSeq lists it as uncharacterized. The transcript has 3 exons. NCBI's taxonomy places the organism in Eukaryota, Metazoa, Arthropoda, Copepoda, Harpacticoida, Harpacticidae. The record is from RefSeq and is a predicted model, not a curated record.
UGAUGGACUCAAAUUUCAAGUUCCUUACCUUAAUUGUGUUUGAUCAACAACCAUUCAGCCCGAAGGUGGUUGGGCGUGUCUGCUUCAUGGACAUUGAAGCCAAAAUGCUUCCCACUCACAUGGAGUCGCAUUGGCCAAAUGUAAGAUUACAAGAGCCCUUGACAGAAUCCCAGCGACGAGAGUUUCAAUUUGGGUGUGUCACUCGAGAUGGUGAGCAUUAUGAACACAAUAACAAUCAUAAUCAUAAUGGCCAUCUCCAAGCGUCUCCGCUCUCCAUUUCCUUAACUAGCAGGAUCACGUUAUUCAUGCCAUUGUGAUUCGUAGAGCGUGAAAAAUUGAAGAUUUUGCCUGCUGCCAUGACACCCGCCUCUGUUCGUCCGCUGUACACACCUUUAAAUGGAUGCCUUUUUCCAGCCAUAUUUCAAUGUGAAUCUGUGGUUUUGGCUUUUAUUCUGUCAAGCGCUAAUUGAUCUUCAGGGAGAUGGUGACAACGGUGAGAAACUUGGUUGUGGUCAAUUUGAAGUUUCAAUUAAAAUCCAAGCAUCACGAGAUCCUCUUGUUAUGGUCAGACUGAAUUAUGCGGCCUGUACACACGUCGUCUGUCUCUGCCUCUCGUUUAAAUAGGGCGCCAUUACCGUUGUCGCUUCGGCAUGCAAAUCAGGGCUGCCACCCACCGUUCCAAAGAAGUGCCAGAGCCGAAGCGUUGCGUGCCACAGCAAGGAGAAAACACUUCAUUUUCUCUCCAUUGAAUUCACUUUCACAUUUCAUCAUAUUGUUCAUUAGCUCUUGGGUGAGAGAUGCCUUGGUAUUUGAGCAGUGCAGCACUCGGGCUCUAUGGUAUGAUGUAUCUACAUACUGUAUACAAUGUGCUGUACAAAGGUGAUCGGUGCUCAAUAAGACGCUUUUCAUUCGGAUCUCCCCCUCUCUCUUUUUCUCCAUGAGACGAAGGCAUAUCUCUCGGUACUAGAGUCGUACUCGGUACCUCUCUCCUCAGAGGCUUUGAUACGUAUUUGAUUACGGACACCUUGCAACGCAAGACUCCUAGCGGGUCUGAAAUGAGAGAGAGUCCAUUGUCGUCCAAAACCUGCAUUGGACGCUUUCAAACUACUCAGAACAACUUGUUCAUACACACAUAUGCUUUGUUGUAGAGAUACUCAAUAAGUUAUUAGUUGUUAUACAAGACUCCUGUCCAGGUUUUGAAGUCCCUGGCUCUCGAGCAUUCUAGGGAGACAAAGUGCUCCAUCAAAUAUCGCACUAGAGCCUGUCACGAAAGUCAUUAAGAGCAAAAACAAGCAGUCCUGAAGAUUCAUCCGCUCACAAAAAAGCUCAUUGAACUCCGCCUGAGCGUCUUGUGAAUCCGUUUGAUCCCAGCCCAACUCCACCUAUUUUCCACCUACCAUGAAUCUAAUCCAAUACAGUUCAUGAGGCCUCCACCACUCCCCUAACCCAUCCAGUCAUCAUCUCGAGGAGAAAUUGAAAAGAAUAAAUCAAAAUCAGACUGCACCACGAUCCGGAUGAACAUUUUCAUUUUGCAGCUCAGAGGCUCGCACUGCAUCACGUCUUGAUGAAGGCUUUGUUUUGCCGGCCAAAUUUGAAAAGCCUCUCUUUCCCGCGCCGUCUUCUGUUGUUGAAGCAGGGUGUCAAUCUUGGCUAAACACCAUAAAUACAAAGCGGUCUUGCCUGGUCCAGAAUUCACGCUGACUUUGUAAUUGCCUCCGCAAUCUUUUGGUCGUCAUGGAAAGGGCCAGAGACGAGGAGGAAGAAGAAGAAGACGUCUUUAUAUAAUUUAUUCAUCGAGUAUUUUCACACCGCAGGAUCCUGACAUCAAGCAUAAGUUGAGCAUGAAAAGGCACCACCGUUCAUCGAGUUCCAUGCACUCUCUGUGAUCCCAGUCCACUUGAUUUUGAGUCUUCCACGAAUCGGCAAUGAAUACAAAAAAAGUGAGUGGCCUCAUCCAUAAUUUACCGUGGAGCUCAAGAUACCGGAUCACGAGCAAUUAAUUCUCAUCUUAAUUGACUUCGAUGUGAGACAGAGGACAUGCGCAAUAAAUCUAAGGCCAGCAAGGAACUGCGACAGGCCGCAAUGGGGUGUGAACCCGAGAUGAAUCAUU